Molecule: RNA transcript, 450 nt
Organism: Setaria italica (foxtail millet)
Lineage: Eukaryota; Viridiplantae; Streptophyta; Magnoliopsida; Poales; Poaceae
Exons: 3
Source: RefSeq, a predicted model, not a curated record
GCUCCGCCAAUCCUCUCCAUUCUCGAUCUACAUUUGUAUGCUGCUAGAUUUUGUGCAUCUCAACAGAGAACCUGGGGUAGUAAAUACGACUCUAGCUAAGGAGAGCAUUCCUUGUGUGACAAACAAAGAAACUUCCACAGGCAGCAGCACUGGCAAACUCCUCUACAUCGUCAUGGUCUCCACAUGAAGCCCCUCGGUACCUGCUGCGUACAACUCCUGCAAGACGAGAACGAGGCAAACAAACAUUUCCGUGGCAAGGCGUUUCCAUUCUAUGAUGAGUUAACCACUCUUUUCGGGACAACGAAAACUGAAGGCGGUCCAAUGUUGUGUGUUGGUGGAAUUGGAGAUAGAACACCAAGCUGUGGAAGUGAAGACACCCCUGACCCAAUGGCGGAUGAAAAUGUUGACUGGUUGGAGGACACUGUUGGACGAUCUAGUGUGGGUCGUGUG